GGGACCAUAGCUCAACGGUAGAGCGCUCAGCCGAUAAUUGAUUGAUAGUGGUUCAAUUCCACUUGGUCCUA
This 71-nucleotide transfer RNA is filed under the name Rhodotorula toruloides. RNAcentral describes it as "tRNA-Ile (GAT) cove score=45.42". It matches the Rfam family "tRNA". From Rfam's summary of the family: Transfer RNA (tRNA) molecules are approximately 80 nucleotides in length. Their secondary structure includes four short double-helical elements and three loops (D, anti-codon, and T loops). Further hydrogen bonds mediate the characteristic L-shaped molecular structure. tRNAs have two regions of fundamental functional importance: the anti-codon, which is responsible for specific mRNA codon recognition, and the 3' end, to which the tRNAs corresponding amino acid is attached (by aminoacyl-tRNA synthetases). tRNAs cope with the degeneracy of the genetic code in two manners: having more than one tRNA (with a specific anti-codon) for a particular amino acid; and 'wobble' base-pairing, i.e. permitting non-standard base-pairing at the 3rd anti-codon position. Lineage: Eukaryota; Fungi; Basidiomycota; Microbotryomycetes; Sporidiobolales; Sporidiobolaceae. The record is from RNAcentral.